Molecule: ribosomal RNA, 2789 nt
Filed under: Escherichia coli
Lineage: Bacteria; Pseudomonadati; Pseudomonadota; Gammaproteobacteria; Enterobacterales; Enterobacteriaceae
Description: bacterial LSU rRNA
Rfam family: Bacterial large subunit ribosomal RNA
Source: RNAcentral
AGCGUACACGGUGGAUGCCCUGGCAGUCAGAGGCGAUGAAGGACGUGCUAAUCUGCGAUAAGCGUCGGUAAGGUGAUAUGAACCGUUAUAACCGGCGAUUUCCGAAUGGGGAAACCCAGUGUGAUUCGUCACACUAUCAUUAACUGAAUCCAUAGGUUAAUGAGGCGAACCGGGGGAACUGAAACAUCUAAGUACCCCGAGGAAAAGAAAUCAACCGAGAUUCCCCCAGUAGCGGCGAGCGAACGGGGAGCAGCCCAGAGCCUGAAUCAGUGUGUGUGUUAGUGGAAGCGUCUGGAAAGGCGCGCGAUACAGGGUGACAGCCCCGUACACAAAAAUGCACAUGCUGUGAGCUCGAUGAGUAGGGCGGGACACGUGGUAUCCUGUCUGAAUAUGGGGGGACCAUCCUCCAAGGCUAAAUACUCCUGACUGACCGAUAGUGAACCAGUACCGUGAGGGAAAGGCGAAAAGAACCCCGGCGAGGGGAGUGAAAAAGAACCUGAAACCGUGUACGUACAAGCAGUGGGAGCACAGAGCAAUCUGUGUGACUGCGUACCUUUUGUAUAAUGGGUCAGCGACUUAUAUUCUGUAGCAAGGUUAACCGAAUAGGGGAGCCGAAGGGAAACCGAGUCUUAACUGGGCGUUAAGUUGCAGGGUAUAGACCCGAAACCCGGUGAUCUAGCCAUGGGCAGGUUGAAGGUUGGGUAACACUAACUGGAGGACCGAACCGACUAAUGUUGAAAAAUUAGCGGAUGACUUGUGGCUGGGGGUGAAAGGCCAAUCAAACCGGGAGAUAGCUGGUUCUCCCCGAAAGCUAUUUAGGUAGCGCCUCGUGAAUUCAUCUCCGGGGGUAGAGCACUGUUUCGGCAAGGGGGUCAUCCCGACUUACCAACCCGAUGCAAACUGCGAAUACCGGAGAAUGUUAUCACGGGAGACACACGGCGGGUGCUAACGUCCGUCGUGAAGAGGGAAACAACCCAGACCGCCAGCUAAGGUCCCAAAGUCAUGGUUAAGUGGGAAACGAUGUGGGAAGGCCCAGACAGCCAGGAUGUUGGCUUAGAAGCAGCCAUCAUUUAAAGAAAGCGUAAUAGCUCACUGGUCGAGUCGGCCUGCGCGGAAGAUGUAACGGGGCUAAACCAUGCACCGAAGCUGCGGCAGCGACGCUUAUGCGUUGUUGGGUAGGGGAGCGUUCUGUAAGCCUGCGAAGGUGUGCUGUGAGGCAUGCUGGAGGUAUCAGAAGUGCGAAUGCUGACAUAAGUAACGAUAAAGCGGGUGAAAAGCCCGCUCGCCGGAAGACCAAGGGUUCCUGUCCAACGUUAAUCGGGGCAGGGUGAGUCGACCCCUAAGGCGAGGCCGAAAGGCGUAGUCGAUGGGAAACAGGUUAAUAUUCCUGUACUUGGUGUUACUGCGAAGGGGGGACGGAGAAGGCUAUGUUGGCCGGGCGACGGUUGUCCCGGUUUAAGCGUGUAGGCUGGUUUUCCAGGCAAAUCCGGAAAAUCAAGGCUGAGGCGUGAUGACGAGGCACUACGGUGCUGAAGCAACAAAUGCCCUGCUUCCAGGAAAAGCCUCUAAGCAUCAGGUAACAUCAAAUCGUACCCCAAACCGACACAGGUGGUCAGGUAGAGAAUACCAAGGCGCUUGAGAGAACUCGGGUGAAGGAACUAGGCAAAAUGGUGCCGUAACUUCGGGAGAAGGCACGCUGAUAUGUAGGUGAAGUCCCUCGCGGAUGGAGCUGAAAUCAGUCGAAGAUACCAGCUGGCUGCAACUGUUUAUUAAAAACACAGCACUGUGCAAACACGAAAGUGGACGUAUACGGUGUGACGCCUGCCCGGUGCCGGAAGGUUAAUUGAUGGGGUCAGCGCAAGCGAAGCUCUUGAUCGAAGCCCCGGUAAACGGCGGCCGUAACUAUAACGGUCCUAAGGUAGCGAAAUUCCUUGUCGGGUAAGUUCCGACCUGCACGAAUGGCGUAAUGAUGGCCAGGCUGUCUCCACCCGAGACUCAGUGAAAUUGAACUCGCUGUGAAGAUGCAGUGUACCCGCGGCAAGACGGAAAGACCCCGUGAACCUUUACUAUAGCUUGACACUGAACAUUGAGCCUUGAUGUGUAGGAUAGGUGGGAGGCUUUGAAGUGUGGACGCCAGUCUGCAUGGAGCCGACCUUGAAAUACCACCCUUUAAUGUUUGAUGUUCUAACGUUGACCCGUGAUCCGGGUUGCGGACAGUGUCUGGUGGGUAGUUUGACUGGGGCGGUCUCCUCCUAAAGAGUAACGGAGGAGCACGAAGGUUGGCUAAUCCUGGUCGGACAUCAGGAGGUUAGUGCAAUGGCAUAAGCCAGCUUGACUGCGAGCGUGACGGCGCGAGCAGGUGCGAAAGCAGGUCAUAGUGAUCCGGUGGUUCUGAAUGGAAGGGCCAUCGCUCAACGGAUAAAAGGUACUCCGGGGAUAACAGGCUGAUACCGCCCAAGAGUUCAUAUCGACGGCGGUGUUUGGCACCUCGAUGUCGGCUCAUCACAUCCUGGGGCUGAAGUAGGUCCCAAGGGUAUGGCUGUUCGCCAUUUAAAGUGGUACGCGAGCUGGGUUUAGAACGUCGUGAGACAGUUCGGUCCCUAUCUGCCGUGGGCGCUGGAGAACUGAGGGGGGCUGCUCCUAGUACGAGAGGACCGGAGUGGACGCAUCACUGGUGUUCGGGUUGUCAUGCCAAUGGCACUGCCCGGUAGCUAAAUGCGGAAGAGAUAAGUGCUGAAAGCAUCUAAGCACGAAACUUGCCCCGAGAUGAGUUCUCCCUGACUCCUUGA